GUCCCUUUAGAGACAUUAGAUAAAAUUGGAACGAUAAAGAAAACAUAGCAUUGCAACUGCACAAAGAUGACACACAUAUAUCAAGAAAUGAUCCAAAUAAAA
This is a non-coding RNA of Cucumis melo (muskmelon), 102 nucleotides long. The record is from Rfam. Lineage: Eukaryota; Viridiplantae; Streptophyta; Magnoliopsida; Cucurbitales; Cucurbitaceae.